UACGAAGGGUGCAAGCGUUACUCGGAAUUACUGGGCGUAAAGCGUGCGUAGGUGGUCGCUUAAGUCCGUUGUGAAAGCCCUGGGCUCAACCUGGGAACUGCAGUGGAUACUGGGCGACUAGAGUGUGGUAGAGGGUAGCGGAAUUCCUGGUGUAGCAGUGAAAUGCGUAGAGAUCAGGAGGAACAUCCAUGGCGAAGGCAGCUAUCUGGACCAACACUGACACUGAGGCACGAAAGCGUGGGGAGCAAACAGG
This 253-nucleotide ribosomal RNA is filed under the name uncultured bacterium. Its description in RNAcentral is "partial 16S ribosomal RNA". It matches the Rfam family "Bacterial small subunit ribosomal RNA", at positions 524 to 776 of the family's 1533-position model. The record is from RNAcentral.